UGGGGAAUUUUGGACAAUGGGCGAAAGCCUGAUCCAGCAAUGCCGCGUGUGUGAAGAAGGCCUUCGGGUUGUAAAGCACUUUUGUCCGGAAAGAAAUGGCUCUGGUUAAUACCUGGGGUCGAUGACGGUACCGGAAGAAUAAGGACCGGCUAACUACGUGCCAGCAGCCGCGGUAAUACGUAGGGUCCAAGCGUUAAUCGGAAUUACUGGGCGUAAAGCGUGCGCAGGCGGUUGUGCAAGACCGAUGUGAAAUCCCCGAGCUUAAAUUAGAAAUGGCAUUUGGGACUGAACGGCUAGGGGGGGGCAGAGGGGGGUAGAAUUCCACGUGUAGCAGUGAAAUGCGUAGGGAUGUGGAAGAAUACCGAUGGCGAAGGCAGCCCCCUGAGAUAACACUGGCGACCAUGCACGAAAGCGUGGGGGGCAAACAGG
This 429-nucleotide ribosomal RNA is filed under the name Bacillota bacterium. RNAcentral describes it as "Firmicutes bacterium partial 16S ribosomal RNA". It matches the Rfam family "Bacterial small subunit ribosomal RNA", at positions 355 to 776 of the family's 1533-position model. The record is from RNAcentral. Lineage: Bacteria; Bacillati; Bacillota.